GCCUGGCUGGCUCAGUCUGAAGAGCAUGUAACUCUUGAUCCCAAGGUCGUGGGUUCAAGCCCCACAUUGGGUA
RNAcentral lists this transfer RNA (73 nucleotides) under Felis catus (domestic cat). It matches the Rfam family "tRNA". Rfam says of the family: Transfer RNA (tRNA) molecules are approximately 80 nucleotides in length. Their secondary structure includes four short double-helical elements and three loops (D, anti-codon, and T loops). Lineage: Eukaryota; Metazoa; Chordata; Mammalia; Carnivora; Felidae. The record is from Rfam by way of RNAcentral.